Molecule: ribosomal RNA, 243 nt
Filed under: uncultured bacterium
Lineage: Bacteria
Description: partial 16S ribosomal RNA
Rfam family: Bacterial small subunit ribosomal RNA
Source: RNAcentral
CCGGCGCACGGGUGAGUAACACGUAUGCAAUUCACCUGUAACAGGGGGAUAACCCGGAGAAAUCCGGACUAAUACCCCAUAAUAUGGGCGCUCCGCAUGGAGAGUUCAUUAAAGAGAGCAAUUUUGGUUACAGACGAGCAUGCGCUCCAUUAGCCAGUUGGCGGGGUAACGGCCCACCAAGGCGACGAUGGAUAGGGGUUCUGAGAGGAAGGUCCCCCACAUUGGAACUGAGACACGGUCCAA